RNAcentral lists this long non-coding RNA (221 nucleotides) under Nicotiana benthamiana. Its description in RNAcentral is "long non-coding RNA (NBEN_LNC015568)". The record is from RNAcentral. Lineage: Eukaryota; Viridiplantae; Streptophyta; Magnoliopsida; Solanales; Solanaceae.
CAGCAGCAGAGACCUACACCCCUGCUCAUUAGGAAACCAGCUGCACGCACAGAUCCUCACUAAACCAGAUUUUAAUUCAAUGCAAAGUGGAAGUUAGUCUAUUCUUUUGGUUUUGAUUUCAAAAUGUUGGAGUUGCUGUUCGAGUGAGGGUGUUGUUCGAGUUAGAAGUCGAAGUCAUCGUUCGUUGGUUCGCAGUUCCCGUCUGAGUUCGACGCUCUUGC